UACAGAGGUCUCGAGCGUUGUUCGGAUUCAUUGGGCGUAAAGGGUGCGUAGGCGGCGCGGUAAGUCGGGUGUGAAAUCUUGGAGCUUAACUCCGAAACUGCAUUCGAUACUGCCGUGCUUGAGGACUGGAGAGGAGACUGGAAUUUACGGUGUAACGGUGAAAUGCGUAGAUAUCGUAAGGAAGACCAGUGGCGAAGGCGGGUCUCUGGACAGUUCCUGACGCUGAGGCACGAAGGCCAGGGGAGCAAACGGA
RNAcentral lists this ribosomal RNA (253 nucleotides) under uncultured bacterium. RNAcentral describes it as "partial 16S ribosomal RNA". It matches the Rfam family "Bacterial small subunit ribosomal RNA", at positions 524 to 776 of the family's 1533-position model. The record is from RNAcentral.